RNAcentral lists this ribosomal RNA (433 nucleotides) under uncultured bacterium. RNAcentral's name for it is "partial 16S ribosomal RNA". It matches the Rfam family "Bacterial small subunit ribosomal RNA", at positions 29 to 507 of the family's 1533-position model. The record is from RNAcentral.
AACGAACGCUGGCGGCAUGCCUAACACAUGCAAGUCGAACGAUACCUCCGGGCUUAGUGGCGCACGGGUGCGUAACGCGUGGGAUCCUGCCUUUAGGUUCGGAAUAACUCCCCGAAAGGGGCGCUAAUACCGGUUAAUGACACCGGACCAAAGAUUUAUCGCCAUUGGAUGGGCGCGCGUUGGUUUAGCUGGUUGGUAGGGUAAAAGCCUGUCAAGGCGACGUUCCCUGGCUGGUCCGAGCGGAUGAUCAGCCGGGCCGGGGCUGUGACACGGACCCGAAUGCGACGGAGCGGAGCGGAAGGGAGUAUAGGAGGAGCGACCAUAGCCUAAUCCAGCAAUGCGGGGUGAGAGGUGAAGGGCUUAGGGAUCCAAAGUUAGUUUGCACGAGAUGAUAGUGACAGUACCGGGAGAAUAAGCUCCGGCUAACUACGUG